RNAcentral lists this small RNA (127 nucleotides) under Marmota monax (woodchuck). The record is from RNAcentral. Lineage: Eukaryota; Metazoa; Chordata; Mammalia; Rodentia; Sciuridae.
GCCAGGCAUCUUGGUGAAUGCCUGUAAUCCCAGCAGCUUGGGAGGCUGAGGCAGGAGGAUCAUGAGUUCAAAGCCAGCCUCAGCAAUUUAGGGAGGCCAUAAGCAACUUAGCAAGACCCUGUCUCUA